This 1529-nucleotide ribosomal RNA is filed under the name Shigella boydii. Its description in RNAcentral is "bacterial SSU rRNA". It matches the Rfam family "Bacterial small subunit ribosomal RNA". The record is from RNAcentral. Lineage: Bacteria; Pseudomonadati; Pseudomonadota; Gammaproteobacteria; Enterobacterales; Enterobacteriaceae.
AGAGUUUGAUCAUGGCUCAGAUUGAACGCUGGCGGCAGGCCUAACACAUGCAAGUCGAACGGUAACAGGAAUCAGCUUGCUGAUUCGCUGACGAGUGGCGGACGGGUGAGUAAUGUCUGGGAAACUGCCUGAUGGAGGGGGAUAACUACUGGAAACGGUAGCUAAUACCGCAUAAUGUCGCAAGACCAAAGAGGGGGACCUUCGGGCCUCUUGCCAUCGGAUGUGCCCAGAUGGGAUUAGCUUGUUGGUGGGGUAACGGCUCACCAAGGCGACGAUCCCUAGCUGGUCUGAGAGGAUGACCAGCCACACUGGAACUGAGACACGGUCCAGACUCCUACGGGAGGCAGCAGUGGGGAAUAUUGCACAAUGGGCGCAAGCCUGAUGCAGCCAUGCCGCGUGUAUGAAGAAGGCCUUCGGGUUGUAAGUACUUUCAGCGGGGAGGAAGGGAGUAAAGUUAAUACCUUUGCUCAUUGACGUUACCCGCAGAAGAAGCACCGGCUAACUCCGUGCCAGCAGCCGCGGUAAUACGGAGGGUGCAAGCGUUAAUCGGAAUUACUGGGCGUAAAGCGCACGCAGGCGGUUUGUUAAGUCAGAUGUGAAAUCCCCGGGCUCAACCUGGGAACUGCAUCUGAUACUGGCAAGCUUGAGUCUCGUAGAGGGGGGUAGAAUUCCAGGUGUAGCGGUGAAAUGCGUAGAGAUCUGGAGGAAUACCGGUGGCGAAGGCGGCCCCCUGGACGAAGACUGACGCUCAGGUGCGAAAGCGUGGGGAGCAAACAGGAUUAGAUACCCUGGUAGUCCACGCCGUAAACGAUGUCGACUUGGAGGUUGUGCCCUUGAGGCGUGGCUUCCGGAGCUAACGCGUUAAGUCGACCGCCUGGGGAGUACGGCCGCAAGGUUAAAACUCAAAUGAAUUGACGGGGGCCCGCACAAGCGGUGGAGCAUGUGGUUUAAUUCGAUGCAACGCGAAGAACCUUACCUGGUCUUGACAUCCACGGAAGUUUUCAGAGAUGAGAAUGUGCCUUCGGGAACCGUGAGACAGGUGCUGCAUGGCUGUCGUCAGCUCGUGUUGUGAAAUGUUGGGUUAAGUCCCGCAACGAGCGCAACCCUUAUCCUUUGUUGCCAGCGGUCCGGCCGGGAACUCAAAGGAGACUGCCAGUGAUAAACUGGAGGAAGGUGGGGACGACGUCAAGUCAUCAUGGCCCUUACGACCAGGGCUACACACGUGCUACAAUGGCGCAUACAAAGAGAAGCGACCUCGCGAGAGCAAGCGGACCUCAUAAAGUGCGUCGUAGUCCGGAUUGGAGUCUGCAACUCGACUCCAUGAAGUCGGAAUCGCUAGUAAUCGUGGAUCAGAAUGCCACGGUGAAUACGUUCCCGGGCCUUGUACACACCGCCCGUCACACCAUGGGAGUGGGUUGCAAAAGAAGUAGGUAGCUUAACCUUCGGGAGGGCGCUUACCACUUUGUGAUUCAUGACUGGGGUGAAGUCGUAACAAGGUAACCGUAGGGGAACCUGCGGUUGGAUCACCU